UACGUAGGGGGCAAGCGUUGUCCGGAUUUAUUGGGCGUAAAGAGCGUGUAGGCGGCUUUGCAAGUCCGUUGUGAAAACUCGAGGCUCAACCUCGAGACGCCGGUGGAAACUGCAAAGCUAGAGUCCGGAAGAGGAGAGUGGAAUUCCUGGUGUAGCGGUGAAAUGCGCAGAUAUCAGGAAGAACACCCGUGGCGAAGGCGGCUCUCUGGGACGGUACUGACGCUGAGGCGCGACAGCGUGGGGAGCAAACAGG
This 253-nucleotide ribosomal RNA is filed under the name uncultured bacterium. RNAcentral describes it as "partial 16S ribosomal RNA". It matches the Rfam family "Bacterial small subunit ribosomal RNA", at positions 524 to 776 of the family's 1533-position model. The record is from RNAcentral.